Molecule: ribosomal RNA, 434 nt
Filed under: uncultured bacterium
Lineage: Bacteria
Description: partial 16S ribosomal RNA
Rfam family: Bacterial small subunit ribosomal RNA
Source: RNAcentral
AGCGAACGCUGGCGGCAGGCCUAACACAUGCAAGUCGAACGAACCUUUCGGGGUUAGUGGCGGACGGGUGAGUAACACGUGGGAACGUGCCUUUAGGUUCGGAAUAACUCAGGGAAACUUGUGCUAAUACCGAAUGUGCCCUUCGGGGGAAAGAUUUAUCGCCUUUAGAGCGGCCCGCGUCUGAUUAGCUAGUUGGUUGAGGUAAUGGCUCACCACGGCGACGAUCAGUAGCUGGUCGGAGAGGAUGAUCAGCCACAUUGGGACUGAGACACGGCCCAAACUCCGACGGGAGGCAGCAGUGGGGAAUCUUGCGCAAUGGGCGAAAGCCUGACGCAGCCAUGCCGCGUGAAUGAUGAAGGUCUUAGGAUUGUAAAAUUCUUUCACCGGGGACGAUAAUGACGGUACCCGGAGAAGAAGCCCCGGCUAACUUCGUG